Molecule: long non-coding RNA, 1205 nt
Organism: Hylaeus anthracinus
Lineage: Eukaryota; Metazoa; Arthropoda; Insecta; Hymenoptera; Colletidae
Exons: 5
Source: RefSeq, a predicted model, not a curated record
AUGGUGUACCGAUCAACUAACCCGUUGCGUAGGUUGACGCAACGAAGGUGAUCAAGAUAUUGUUCGGAUACCUUGACAAGAGGUGGAGGAGGACAGCAACCACAUGGCGCACAGGGACCGGUGCAUUUCAGCAACUUGCGUUGUUGCUCCAGUUGCUGACGUUCUCGCUGCACGUUAGCAAGUUCUAUCUGCAUGUUGCGUACUUCGCAUUCUAUAUUGCCCAGCUGUUGUUCCUAGAAUUGUUGUCAACGCAUAAGUAUGUAAAAUUGGAGCAAAACUCAGUUAUGAGUAAUUAUGUAACCAAGUUGCCCAGCUACCAGUUACAUAAUUACUCAUAAUUGCUUAGAGCAACAAGCGUGUCCCUGCGACUCGUUCAUUAAGACUCAAUUAUGUUUUGUAGAUGUACUAUCUGUUUGGUGUUGGUGCCAUAGGAUGCAAGUUGGUUCUCCAGUUCCGCGGGACACGUCCCUCUCGGAGGUGGACACGGCUGGCAUGGCGGCUUAACAGCGGCUGGACUGCGACAACACAUUCCGUCGACUUGCGAAGAAGCACUGCUCUCGGUACAAGCUUUUGUUCUUGACGCGCCACCCGCGAGUCUAGGAUUGAGGACUCGUUGUCCAAUUGAAUGGAUAUGUACCGCAUACGGAAUUGCCUCGCGGUGACAAACUGUCAGCGAAUGGUGGCUGAAGGCAACACUUGCACGGACAGUAAUCGUCGUCCUGCUGCACCGUAGUGGUGUACGAAUACGAACGAAAAGGAGACGGGCUUGAUGUUGGAGAGCACAGCGCAACGUUCGUCUGCUUUCUUCAGUUCUUCCUGUACAGCGGAGUCUGUCAAAGGAGAUGAGCUCAACACGGAUUCCACUCUACCACCAGGCUUGAUCGGGACACCUGGAUAAAAAAUACGUUAAUCGAAUUAAUUUUAAGGGUGCACCUUCACCAACACCAGGCGGAAGCGGAUAUUCUGGAGGCUGGCCUUCUUCAAACUUCUCUGUAGCCCCAUCAUCGACUUCAUCUACCGCUGCAUUGUCCUCUUCUUCUGGUACAGUUUCCUCUGGCGUGUCACCCUCGACAUCUUCAAACUCUUCUUCAGCAACUUCUUCUAACGCUUCUCCCUCGUUUUCAGCCAUGCUGAAAUGAAAUUAAUUUAGCGACGAAAUAACUGCCGACACAUAACUGAAAAUUAAAUGUAUUUUACGUCGAUAA